RNAcentral lists this long non-coding RNA (975 nucleotides) under Jatropha curcas. RNAcentral's name for it is "long non-coding RNA (JCUR_LNC002972)". The record is from RNAcentral. Lineage: Eukaryota; Viridiplantae; Streptophyta; Magnoliopsida; Malpighiales; Euphorbiaceae.
GCCACGCUAAAAGUGUGGAAAGAGUGAAAGCUUGUUUAUUUGCCAUGUUGUCACCUCUUCACAUUCCUCCUCAGUAACCGACCAUAAUGCCAAAGGAGAUGGUGGAACAAAGGAAUCUCAGAAGUCUCAGCUUGAUGACUGAGAUGGUGGCGGCGGAUGAGGAUGGGUAGUGAAGAAGCUUGUUAUCAAUGUUCAUAUGUCAGAUCUAGGACUCAUCGGUGGAGGAGGAGGUGGAGGUGUGGGAGGUAAAAGUGGUGAUGAUGGUAAAAAAUGGGUACCUCUUUCUUACUUUGCACCUUGAAACCAUUUCUUCUCCUUUUUAUCUUGAAUAACAAUAACCCUUUUUUUUUUAUUUUCUAGUUUAGCUUUCUUUUUAUAGUAGAUCAAGUUUUGCUCUUCUUUGAUUUUGUACUCUAGAGGUGAUUAAAAUAAAUUAAAAUGCUUUUAAGAAGUAAAAGAAGAUUUAUUUUCCUUUCUCCCAAUUUGAUGGGUUUUAGAAGCAUAAGAGGAAGACGAAAGAUGAGGGAGGAAGAGAUGGCGGCCUCGACAUCGGAAGCGGUGGUGGUGGAGGAAGGAGGAGAUGGUGGCGUCUCCAGUGGCAGCGUCAGUGGUGGAGGAGUAGGAGAGUAACAGUUUCCUACUUCUUUGGAAGGUUUGAACGAAGGAGGGGGGCUUGGAAGGCUUUGACCAAAUGUAUAUUUUUGACCAUUUAAUCUGAUGCGGUAUAUGAUGUGUUUCUCUCUCUCACAUGUCAUCACAUUUUUGUAGGUGAGGGAUGAGUUGCACGCACUUCAUCUCCCCAUGAUAGGUACCCAUUAAAUAUAAAAAAAAUAAAUAGAGAUACCUUAUAGGACCUCAGAAAGUAUAAAGGCCGCAGAAUUUUUUUGAAAACGUACCGGGUCCAAAAUAUGCAUAUGGCCUAAUUCUUAUGCUACCACAAAAUAUUUGCCUUGAAUUAUUAUUUACAAAUUGAGA